AUCGAUGAAGAACGCAGCGAAAUGCGAUAAGUAAUGUGAAUUGCAGAAUUCAGUGAAUCAUCGAAUCUUUGAACGCACCUUGCGCUCUUUGGUAUUCCGAAGAGCACACCUGUUCGAGUGUCGUGAAUAUCUCAAUCCAAAUAGUUUUUAUUAAUUGUUUGAAUUGGUUUUGGACUCUGUCGUCUCUUUAAUGAACGACUGGUCUUAAAAAUAUUAGCUGGUCUCAGAUUGGGAAUGGUUUGACUUGGCGUGAUAAUAACUGAUCGUCGAGGACAUCUUUUGGGAUGGCCAUUAACUAACUAAGUCCGCUUCUAAUUGUCUUUUUUGGACAAAAUUUUCAACUUUGACCUCGAAUCAGGUGGGACUACCCGCUGAACUUAAGCAUAUCAAUAAGCGGAGGAAAAGAAACUAACAAGGAUUCCCCUAGUAACGGCGAGUGAAGCGGGAUGAGCUCAAAUUUAAAAUCUGGCAGUCUUCGAUUGUCCGAGUUGUAAUCUAGAGAAGCGUUUUCCGCGCUGGACUGUGUACAAGUUUCCUGGAUACGGAACAUCAUAGAGGGUGAGAAUCCCGUCCUUGACACAGACUCCCAGUGCUAUGUGAUACGCUCUCGACGAGUCGAGUUGUUUGGGAUUGCAGCUCAAAAUGGGAGGUAAAUUCCUUCUAAAGCUAAAUAUUGGCGAGAGACCGAUAGCGAACAAGUACCGUGAGGGAAAGAUGAAAAGCACUUUGGAAAGAGAGUUAAACAGUACGUGAAAUUGUUAAAAGGGAAACGAUUGAAGUCAGUCGCCUUCGUUUGGACUCAGCUUAGCCUCGGUUAGGUGCAUUUCCUUAUGAACGGGCCAACGUCCAUGUUGCCUGCUGGAAAAGGGGUGGAGAAAUGUGGCUUCUUCGGGAGUGUUAUAGUCUCUGCUCGUAUACAGUAUAGUGAUAUGGAGUGGUACAGCAUGCUUCGGCGGUGCUUGUGUUGGCAUAAUGGCUUUAAACGACCCGUCUUGAAACACGG
Molecule: ribosomal RNA, 1003 nt
Filed under: uncultured fungus
Lineage: Eukaryota; Fungi
Description: eukaryotic LSU rRNA
Rfam family: Eukaryotic large subunit ribosomal RNA (bases 345-1003)
Source: RNAcentral